This 1013-nucleotide long non-coding RNA is filed under the name Parus major (Great Tit). RNAcentral describes it as "lncRNA (ENSPMJG00000001639.1)". Lineage: Eukaryota; Metazoa; Chordata; Aves; Passeriformes; Paridae. The record is from RNAcentral.
GCUAUCAGUUCUCACAAGCGGCCAGCUAUUGGCCUGAUCUCAGACACAGAGGAAGCUCCCAGUAGCUUCUUCCAGAGAAAUCACUUCCAUGGGUGUUUCCCACUUCUUUCCCUAAAUGUCAGACCACCACAGUGAUACUAAGCUAAAGAUACCAUUUUCAUUAGAUCCAGCAACAAAUAUUUAAAUUUUUUUGGUGUUGUAAGAUACAGUUGACCUGCGCUGGAAAUAAAAUUCUGCACUAAAGGCAAAAAUCCUCCAGUUACUGUGGCACAUCUGUGUUUGCCCCAGAAGAAGACUCGCAGUCAUAGUGACUAGUCACACUGCACUGCUGCGUGCUGCAUUCUUCACAGAACCUAAACUUGUUACAAAUUAACAGUAGAACAGCAUUUGACCACACUGGUCCAAGAGCUUUUGACACAACUUUGAAACUGAAAGCUGUGACCAUACAAGAACUGACGGAGGUCAGAUUUCUCAAGAUGAGAGAACUGCAGGCAAAGGCAAGUCAGGGCUUGUGUGCACAGGAUGCUUCUUUGGAAGAUAUUAUAUCUCUGAAAUAGAAGAAACGUGUAUGUUCUUCCCUAAAAGAGCAGUGCUUUUAGAGGAAAUCUGCCUGCUAAGGUAUUUCAUAUACUUCUCAGUAUCAUCUUCCUUGGAAAUAUUAUAUAAGGCUCUGCAGACUGACUCCACAGAAACAAGAAAUGGUCAUACAAGUUCAUAAUCACUUAAAAACAUUUCUACUCAAUAAGACCACUGGAUAUGUUGGAGCAACCUUGCAAUCUUCUCUGGUUCUUGAACUCAACAUUUACUCAACCAAGUAAAAGAAACUUAUACUGCACAUUAAAGUAAUGAAAUAUUGUUUAUUCUAUUAAGUAUUGGAUUGGAGAGCUGAUAUUGGUCCAGCUUCUCAGACAUAUAUUAGCUUCAAUAUUAGUUUCAAUGGAAAUGUGAUACCUGAAUAUCUAAAUAACUUUUACAGUCUGAAUUGCAAAAUAAAAUGAUGAAGAUAAGAUGCA